Molecule: ribosomal RNA, 444 nt
Filed under: uncultured Eubacteriales bacterium
Lineage: Bacteria; Bacillati; Bacillota; Clostridia; Eubacteriales
Description: bacterial SSU rRNA
Rfam family: Bacterial small subunit ribosomal RNA
Source: RNAcentral
AGAGUUUGAUCCUGGCUCAGGAUGAACGCUGGCGGCGUGCCUAACACAUGCAAGUCGAGCGCGUCUGAUUUGAUGCUUGCAUUAAUGAAAGAUGAGCGGCGGACGGGUGAGUAACGCGUGGGUAACUUGCCCUAUACACAUGGAUAACAUACUGAAAAGUUUACUAAUACAUGAUAAUAUAUAUUUACGGCAUCGUAGAUAUAUCAAAGUGUUAGCGGUAUAGGAUGGACCCGCGUCUGAUUAGCUAGUUGGUGAGAUAACUGCCCACCAAGGCGACGAUCAGUAGCCGACCUGAGAGGGUGAUCGGCCACAUUGGAACUGAGACACGGUCCAAACUCCUACGGGAGGCAGCAGUGGGGAAUAUUGCACAAUGGGCGCAAGCCUGAUGCAGCAACGCCGCGUGAACGAUGAAGGUCUUCGGAUCGUAAGGGGUUCUGUUGCAGG